CUCCAGAUGUUGCUGAACUACAACUCCCAUUCAUGGAAUCAUGGGAGUUGUAGUUCAGCAACAUCUGGAG
Molecule: non-coding RNA, 70 nt
Organism: Pelobates cultripes (western spadefoot toad)
Lineage: Eukaryota; Metazoa; Chordata; Amphibia; Anura; Pelobatidae
Source: the annotation of a GenBank genome assembly